Girardinichthys multiradiatus is the source of this 1836-nucleotide long non-coding RNA. RefSeq lists it as uncharacterized. The record is from RefSeq and is a predicted model, not a curated record. The transcript is spliced from 2 exons. Lineage: Eukaryota; Metazoa; Chordata; Actinopteri; Cyprinodontiformes; Goodeidae.
UGUCAGGGGCGGCGCUUCCAUGUUGCGCUGUGGAAAAUCGUUAGGGGAUACACUGUGACAAACAUGCGCUCUGAGAUUGAUAAUAACCAGAAUAAGGCCGAAAAGGGAACCGGACAGAGUCAAUAUUUAGCGAGGGCCGGACCUGGGUGGCGCCGGCUGGGGUGACGUACACACUUUUUCAGCAGAGAUGGAGAAAAGGCUCGGGUUAAACACUCAACCCCAUUUGGAAAAAGAGCGAGGCUGGAUGCCUGAGUGGUCCAGGAGAGGACAAAGUAUCCCAUCGUGGCCAACAUGGAAACCUGCAGGAAUGCUGCUGAGAUCUAUUUUUCUACACUGUGAUUCAUUGACAGUUUUUGUCAGGCUUGAUGUGUGUUUCCGUCUUGCUACUACGCCCUUCCAUCCUGAGAACUUGACCAUCUGAUUCACCAACAAGCUGCUAAACUACUGAGUCUGUGUCUGUUUCCUUUUUAGGUCUUAGAAACAGCAUCAGCUCACAGAGACACCUGGUCUGAUUUACCUAUCCUUAAACAGAGAUCUCUACAUUGCAUGUAAUACACUACAUCCUAUUUUCGUCUGGUAUUCAGUUUUUCAUUAUUAGACAUUCUUUUACAAACUGCAGAUCUAAACUUAACUUUGAAGACUACCUGAAACAACGGUCUGUUUGUCAUAGUUAACUGAUAGAAAAGAAGUAGAUCAGCAUCCUCUGGAGAUAAAAUAGUUUGCUACUGUAAUGCAGUGAGAGCAAAAAACAAAUAGUGCCCUAUUUGAUAAAUGUAAGAACAGUAUGAAGAAAAAAAAGAAGAUAAAAGACUCAAUAAUUGUAAAGCAGAUGGCAGGUGAUGUUCACUAAACUGUUCUGUUAAUGUAAAAGUAAAGUUGAUUUCUAGCUCCAUCCUAACAACUUCUACAUUUUGCAGAUGAAUUAUAAAACAUGUCACCACAAAACAACAACGGAUGUCAUCAAUUUCCCUCCCUGCCCCCCAGAUGUGCCUGAAGCUAUGGCCUUAAAGUCCUCCUCCCCAGGGAACUGGUUUCAGAUGGUGUUUUAGAGUCUAAAAUCCCAUCUAGCACCAUUUGAAAUCGGUGUUCUUGAGCAGGAACAGACUUCACAAUUGCACCCAGUUUUGGAUCGCUUUUUAGUGUGUGAUGAUUAUACAAAACAAUUUAAUAUAAGUCAAGGGAUGGGGUGAUAUUGGUGCGUUGUAUGUCUUUCUAAAUCCUAAGCAUCAGCUAUUAGAAAGACAGCAGCAUAGGAAUCCAUUAUUCUGACCCUCUAAUCAAGGCUGACCGUUUUCCUUUGGUGUUCAGAGUUUCCAUCAUGUCUAGCACCAUUUGAAAUCGGUUACAAUGUGGAGGGAAAAUCAACAUUUUGUUUCAGGUUUAUAGUGAAAAUCCUCAAAAUGCCACAAGAUAGCAGCAUUGCACUAUAUUGUUUUCAGUCAACUUAGCCACAGAGUUGGAAGACUCCUUAAAGGUGGAAAGAAGAUCAUGUGCAGGUGCAAAUCUGAAACGUUUUGAGGGGAAAAAUGUAUUAUUACUACUAUUAUAUUAUUAAAAUACUCUGCCAAGGAUUAUUAUUUGGAAACAGUUCAGUUUAUUCUCACCACAUCACAGUCACUCAGGUAUGGGUAACAGUUUCUGUUGUGAGUCCCUUUUCAAAAUGUUUAAUUAAAUUGUGAUUUUUUGGUUAAGUGCUUUAGUAGUCUGGUGGUUGUGCUAUCGGACCUAUGCAGCAUUUUUCAAUGUAUUGAAAUUGAUUUCACUUCGUAUGUUGCCAUUUUUAUUCAUUAUUAUGAAUGUGACAUCAUGUUGAUUCUAAAACUCAUAUGUUAUUGA